This 309-nucleotide ribosomal RNA is filed under the name uncultured bacterium. RNAcentral describes it as "bacterial SSU rRNA". It matches the Rfam family "Bacterial small subunit ribosomal RNA", at positions 9 to 310 of the family's 1533-position model. The record is from RNAcentral.
GAGUUUGAUCGUGGCUCAGGAUGAACGCUAGCUACAGGCUUAACACAUGCAAGUCGAGGGGCAGCAUGAUUGAAGCUUGCUUCAAUCGAUGGCGACCGGCGCACGGGUGAGUAACACGUAUCCAACCUGCCGAUAACUCGGGGAUAGCCUUUCGAAAGAAAGAUUAAUACCCGAUAGUAUAGUAUUUCCGCAUGGUUUCACUAUUAAAGAAUUUCGGUUAUCGAUGGGGAUGCGUUCCAUUAGAUAGUUGGCGGGUAACGGCCCACCAAGUCAACGAUGGAUAGGGGUUCUGAGAGGAAGGUCCCCCCA